This 488-nucleotide ribosomal RNA is filed under the name uncultured bacterium. Its description in RNAcentral is "bacterial SSU rRNA". It matches the Rfam family "Bacterial small subunit ribosomal RNA", at positions 8 to 526 of the family's 1533-position model. The record is from RNAcentral.
AGAGUUUGAUCCUGGCUCAGAAUCAACGUUGGCGGCGUGCCUAACACAUGCAAGUCGAACGAGAAAGUGGUAGCAAUACCAUGAGUAAAGUGGCGCACGGGUGAGUAACACGUGACUAACCUACCUUGGAGUUCGGAAUAACCUCGGGAAACCGGGGCUAAUACCGGAUGAUACCUUUGGGUCAAAGGAGCAAUUCGCUCUGAGAGGGGGUCGCGGCUGAUUAGCUAGUUGGCAGGGUAAUGGCCUACCAAGGCGACGAUCAGUAUCCGGCCUGAGAGGGCGCACGGACACACUGGAACUGAAACACGGUCCAGACUCCUACGGGAGGCAGCAGUGGGGAAUUUUGCACAAUGGGGGAAACCCUGAUGCAGCAACGCCGCGUGGAGGAUGAAGGUCUUUGGAUUGUAAACUCCUUUCGACCGGGACGAUAAUGACGGUACCGGGAGAAGAAGCACCGGCUAACUCUGUGCCAGCAGCCGCGGUAAUUC